RNAcentral lists this ribosomal RNA (254 nucleotides) under uncultured bacterium. RNAcentral describes it as "partial 16S ribosomal RNA". It matches the Rfam family "Bacterial small subunit ribosomal RNA", at positions 524 to 776 of the family's 1533-position model. The record is from RNAcentral.
UACAGAGGUCUCAAGCGUUGUUCGGAUUCAUUGGGCGUAAAGGGUGCGUAGGCGGCGGGGGAAAGUCUGAUGUGAAAUCCUGGGGCUCAACCCUGGAACUGCAUUGGAUACUUCCUUGCUAGAGUACUGGAGAGGAAACUGGAAUUUACGGUGUAGCAGUGAAAUGCGUAGAGAUCGUAAGGAAGACCAGUGGCGAAGGCGAGUUUCUGGACAGUUACUGACGCUGAGGCACGAAGGCCAGGGGAGCAAACGGG